CGUGGGCUGCUAAUACAUGCAAGUCGAGCGAAUGGAUUAAGAGCUUGCUCUUAUGAAGUUAGCGGCGGACGGGUGAGUAACACGUGGGUAACCUGCCCAUAAGACUGGGAUAACUCCGGGAAACCGGGGCUAAUACCGGAUAACAUUUUGAACCGCAUGGUUCGAAAUUGAAAGGCGGCUUCGGCUGUCACUUAUGGAUGGACCCGCGUCGCAUUAGCUAGUUGGUGAGGUAACGGCUCACCAAGGCAACGAUGCGUAGCCGACCUGAGAGGGUGAUCGGCCACACUGGGACUGAGACACGGCCCAGACUCCUACGGGAGGCAGCAGUAGGGAAUCUUCCGCAAUGGACGAAAGUCUGACGGAGCAACGCCGCGUGAGUGAUGAAGGCUUUCGGGUCGUAAAACUCUGUUGUUAGGGAAGAACAAGUGCUAGUUGAAUAAGCUGGCACCUUGACGGUACCUAACCAGAAAGCCACGGCUAACUACGUGCCAGCAGCCGCGGUAAUACGUAGGUGGCAAGCGUUAUCCGGAAUUAUUGGGCGUAAAGCGCGCGCAGGUGGUUUCUUAAGUCUGAUGUGAAAGCCCACGGCUCAACCGUGGAGGGUCAUUGGAAACUGGGAGACUUGAGUGCAGAAGAGGAAAGUGGAAUUCCAUGUGUAGCGGUGAAAUGCGUAGAGAUAUGGAGGAACACCAGUGGCGAAGGCGACUUUCUGGUCUGUAACUGACACUGAGGCGCG
This 736-nucleotide ribosomal RNA is filed under the name Bacillus thuringiensis. RNAcentral describes it as "bacterial SSU rRNA". It matches the Rfam family "Bacterial small subunit ribosomal RNA", at positions 38 to 755 of the family's 1533-position model. Lineage: Bacteria; Bacillati; Bacillota; Bacilli; Caryophanales; Bacillaceae. The record is from RNAcentral.